GACGAACGCUGGCGGCGUGCUUAACACAUGCAAGUCGAACGGAAAGGCCCUGCUUUUGUGGGGUGCUCGAGUGGCGAACGGGUGAGUAACACGUGAGUAACCUGCCCUUGACUUUGGGAUAACUUCAGGAAACUGGGGCUAAUACCGGAUAGGAGCUCCUGCUGCAUGGUGGGGGUUGGAAAGUUUCGGCGGUUGGGGAUGGACUCGCGGCUUAUCAGCUUGUUGGUGGGGUAGUGGCUUACCAAGGCUUUGACGGGUAGCCGGCCUGAGAGGGUGACCGGCCACAUUGGGACUGAGAUACGGCCCAGACUCCUACGGGAGGCAGCAGUGGGGAAUAUUGCACAGUGGGCGGACGCCUGAUGCAGCAACGCCGCGUGCGGGAUGACGGCCUUCUGGUUGUAAACCGCUUUCGCCUGUGACGAAGCGUGAGUGACGGUAAUGGGUAAAGAAGCACCGGCUAACUACGUG
RNAcentral lists this ribosomal RNA (468 nucleotides) under uncultured bacterium. RNAcentral's name for it is "partial 16S ribosomal RNA". It matches the Rfam family "Bacterial small subunit ribosomal RNA", at positions 28 to 507 of the family's 1533-position model. The record is from RNAcentral.